UACAGAGGUCUCAAGCGUUGUUCGGAUUCAUUGGGCGUAAAGGGUGCGUAGGUGGCGCCGUAAGUCAGGUGUGAAAUUUCGGAGCUCAACUCCGAAACUGCAUUUGAUACUGCGGUGCUUGAGGACUGGAGAGGAGACUGGAAUUCACGGUGUAGCAGUGAAAUGCGUAGAUAUUCGCAAGAACACCAGUGGCGAAGGCGGCUCACUGGCCCGUAACUGACGCUGAGGCACGAAAGCGUGGGGAGCAAACAGG
Molecule: ribosomal RNA, 253 nt
Filed under: uncultured bacterium
Lineage: Bacteria
Description: partial 16S ribosomal RNA
Rfam family: Bacterial small subunit ribosomal RNA
Source: RNAcentral